AAGCUGUGGGAGAGAUUGGCCCCGCCCCCUUGAAGGUAAACAUUUUCUGUAUCUUUCUGCAGCUUUUCUGUCAUAAUCCGGUCUACUGGUGACUGAGCAGAACCUUCAAAGCAGAAUCAGGAUUUCUGGUUUGAAUCCCCGCUGCAGCUUCUACCACAGGAAUCCAGAAGGGGGCGGAGUCACUCAACCUCUGGGUUUAUAAACAGAAGAACAGAGGUUCUGUCCGUCGUGUGUGAAUGCACUGAAACCAGGAUGAGAGCGGCACCGGCGGUUCUGCUGUGGCUCUCCACGCUCUCAGGUGAGCGUCACGGUCCGACAUCAGACACGUUUUUAUUUCAGAAAACAAACGUUAGCAUCGGUUCCUGAAGAGAAAAACCUGGAGUCUGCAGACUUAUGUUUUCAUGCUGGAUCUACCUUAUCUUAGUGGAUCUGCUCACCUGUUCACCUGCAUACCUGCUCAUCUGUUCACCCGUUUACCUGCUCACCUGCAUACCUGCUCAUCUGUUCAUCCGUUUACCUGCUCACCUGUUUACCUGCUCACCUGUUGACCUGCUUACCUGUUCACCUGUUUACCUGCUCACCUGCAUACCUGUUCACCUGCUCACCUGUUGACCUGUGUUCUUCCUCAGGGGCUCUGGCUCAGUUGGACGGUCGGUUUCUUCUCUUCUUCUUUCAAACGUUUGUCAGCUGGAACCCCUCAGUGAGUC
Molecule: long non-coding RNA, 707 nt
Organism: Oryzias melastigma (Indian medaka)
Lineage: Eukaryota; Metazoa; Chordata; Actinopteri; Beloniformes; Adrianichthyidae
Exons: 3
Source: RefSeq, a predicted model, not a curated record